AGAGUUUGAUCAUGGCUCAGGAUGAACGCUAGCGGCAGGCCUAAUACAUGCAAGGCGAGGGGGCAGCAAUGUCACCGUCGUACGGGUGCGUAACGCGUAUGCAACCUACCCACUACUGGGGGAUAGCCCGGGGAAACCCGGAUUAAUACCGCAUAACACAAUUGGAUCACAUGGUUUGAUUGUUAAAGAUUUAUUGGUGGUGGAUGGGCAUGCGUUCGAUUAGCUAGUUGGCGGGGUAACGGCCCACCAAGGCGACGAUCGAUAGGGGAGCUGAGAGGUCGAUCCCCCACACGGGCACUGAGAUACGGGCCCGACUCCUACGGGAGGCAGCAGUAGGGAAUAUUGGGCAAUGGAUGCAAGUCUGACCCAGCCAUGCCGCGUGCCGGAUGAAUGCCCUCAGGGUUGUAAACGGCUUUUAUCUGGGAAGAAGAACGGGGAUGCGUCCCCGCGUGACGGUACCAGAGGAAUAAGCACCGGCUAACUCCGUGCCAGCAGCCGCGGUAAUACGGAGGGUGCGAGCGUUGUCCGGAUUUAUUGGGUUUAAAGGGUGCGUAGGUGGCUUGAUAAGUCAGUGGUGAAAUGCGGUCGCUCAACGAUCGAACUGCCAUUGAUACUGUUGGGCUUGAGACAAGUGGAGGUUGCCGGAACGGAUGGUGUAGCGGUGAAAUGCAUAGAUAUCAUCCAGAACACCGAUUGCGAAGGCAGGUGACUACGUUUGAUCUGACACUGAGGCACGAAAGCAUGGGGAGCAAACAGGAUUAGAUACCCUGGUAGUCCAUGCCGUAAACGAUGAGGACUCGCUGUUGGCCUUUCGGGGUCAGUGGCUUAGGGAAACCCGUUAAGUCCUCCCCCUG
This 854-nucleotide ribosomal RNA is filed under the name uncultured bacterium. Its description in RNAcentral is "bacterial SSU rRNA". It matches the Rfam family "Bacterial small subunit ribosomal RNA", at positions 9 to 873 of the family's 1533-position model. The record is from RNAcentral.